GCCGCCGGGGCCUCCCCUCCUUGGUCCGCGGCGCGGCCUGUGGCGCCAUUUCUGCCGCCCACGUUGCCGCUCUCCGCCAUCUUUUGGGGGGACGGAGGUGAACCUUCAAGCUGAGGGGCCAGGCCCACCACCCCGUCUUGGUAAGGUUUCUACUCCCUGACCAUCCCAGGUCUAAAAUAGCCUCACCCAAUUUGAGGUGGUGCCAAAACCACCCUGUGGGACCCAAUUCACGUGCAGUGAUGGUCGGGAUUCAUGAACAGCAGGCAGCUCUGUGCUGUGUGGGGAGCUGGGGAGAUGCCGUCAGCCCCCUGGGGCCAGAUGCUGGCCUGCUCUUCCAGGAGUGUCUACCAGGGUCCCUGUCUGCAUCUGGAGUGGGCACCGAGGCAGGGGUCAGGGCUGUGCAUUUGGCUGGGGGACGGCAGGUGUCAGCCUCAAGGUGAGGGUUGGGUGAGACCAGGAAGGCCCGGGCUGUGAGUUGAGUUUCAGGGAAAAGGUUCAGACUUGGCCAAGGGAAGAGCAGGCCACCCACAGAUUCCCAUGACCUGGGGACUUCUGCAGGUGAAGUAUGGUGGACCCUCAGCUGCUGGCAGGGGCCUGCGAGUCAAACGAUGUGGGUAUUAAUGGGAACCCCACUUGCCCCAACAGCUACUGUUGCAACUGUGCCCUUUAGUCAGAACGUUCCACUCAUUUUUCAAAGGGUAAAGUCACGACACCGGCCUGGGGACUUGUGCGAAAAGAACCGCGUGCUCUGCUAUGGGGCUUCUUUGGGCUUCUCAGAGCUUCACUCCUUGUUGACAAACCCCAUAGGGACAGACGCUGCUGCCUGUGGAGGGCCACCCGGGUCCAGACAGGCAAAGCCGGGGCUCCUUCAGCAAGCUGGCUGCCAUUGGGCAGGGACGGGGUUGCAGAAGAGGAGAUAGUUACAGCUGCCACAGGACAGGGCGGGCUUCGGGCAGGAGCGGCCAGCAGACAGGCACCCCGAGUGGCUGGCGCCUGAGGUGCUCUUGAUUCCUUCCCUUUAGUCUCCAGCUGUGGGAAAUCCAACUCGAGACCCCAGCGCUCGGCGGGCCAUGAGGUCAGAGCACACGUCUGGGUGUCUCACCGUGGCUGGACACGUUGAGGUGGCGGAGCCAGAGGAAUGUGGGGACCCUAGUGAGGAGCAGCUGUGGCAGCCCAGACUCCUGCAUGGCUGCAAUGACAGGCUGGGGUCGCUGGGUCUUGCCACAGCCUGAGGAGAUCACUGGACCCAACGUCACGAGUGGCAGUGUCACGAGAAGGAAAUGACACACACCAGAAACCGAACGCCAUGGCUAUGAGGAGGUGAUGGAAAAAUCCAGCACCUGUCAGGAGGCUCUACCAAGCACCAGUGUUAGCUUAGGGGCAGAGGGCCCCGUAGCACACGUUCGUGCUGGAGGGUGUACUGGGCUGCGCUGGACCUGAGCAGAUUGGCACAGUCGGUGAGACAGGACGGAAGGGCUUUGGGAGCAAGAGCAGGAGGAAGAUGUUGAUUUUUAGAUGACGAGACUGCGAGGAGUGUCUGGCACCACAGGAAAGGUAGCGGAAGGACAGCAGGUGGCCCGGAGGGAGCAGGGAGCGGGCUUGGCUGAAUAAUAAGAGGUGGGCUGUUCCAUCUUAAAUGCGGUCUGAUUUCAGAGGGAGAAACAGGCAGGCGGGCUUGGGUUACCUGGGGUGGCAAGAAGUGACGAGGGGGGCCCCUCUCAAUGCCUCAGAACCCAGGUUUUGGUUGGCUUUCUCAGCCCGAAGCUUUGGGCUCUUGUCUGCCAUCCCCUUUAGGGUGCAGGAGUGGGGAUGAGCCCAGGGCCCCUGUGAUGUCCAGCACUGGGCUCUGACAGUUCCCUGUGGACACGGUGCCCCCCCGGGACCUUUGACACCCGGGGAUCUGAGGGGUCAUGGCUCUGGAAAGGCUGGAGAGGGGACCGGGUUGCCCUGUACCCCUCUGAUCUUCCCCCACUCCUUCCUGUCUGCAGGUGGUUCCCCAGAAGCCCAUGGCUGCCUUCUAGGGCAGAGAGUGUGCCCGCCCCUAUACCUGCCAUGAGCUGGCGAUCACCUGGAUCCUGUGAGUGCACAACCUGGGGGCCGGCCCUGUCCCUCACCUCUACAGCGCUGCUGGGGGCCUGAUGGUGAUGCCCUUCAACUAUCCUGCAAGGUGCUGUGGGGGGGGGCUGCAGGGUGCUGCUGGCCUAGUGCCAGCACCAGGACUUCACCAUGUGGGGGUCAUCCAGUCGGUGCAGGAGCUGGGCUGGUGGAGAGCCGGGUGUGCAAGGGAUGCCCUUUGGCUGCACCGCCCCUGGGCAGCCUGCAGGUCGAGGGUAUGACAGUCACUGACAUCCCCAGCCCCACCCACAGGGACUUUGUGAGGGCUGCCUGCAGAGCCAUGGUGGGCCCCCAGCCAGAGGGUGGAGAAGCAGGCCGGCCUCUCCCCCCCAGCUUUACAUCAAAGAAGCCAAGAACAGCCUCCUGUCCUCCAGGCUGUGCUUGGUGCCACCCCCACUCUUUGCCAUCAGGUCAAGGGGCCACCCACCCGCACUCCCCUUGGCACCAUAGAGAGGCCCAACUGCAGGGGAGACACUGAUCUGUGGCCAGUGCCCCCUGAGUAUCCAUGGAAUGUACAGGGUACCUUAGCACAUUUGAGGAGCCCUGAAGUAAAGGGGCGCUUCCCGACUCCCCCACUGGCCAGAGCCAGUGUAGGGCCACGAGACUCGAUUUUAUGCAUUUGUAACACAGGGGUUUGAGGGACACUUGUUUACCCUUUUGUAUUGUUUUGUCCUGGUUUUUCUCUUAAAACUUUUUUGCAUUUUUCUGGGCCUCCUUGGUGAUGGCGCAAAGGGUUAAGUCUCAGCACUGUGAAGCUAUCCACAGCCUGAGUUCAAACCCCGGCCAGGGAGCUACCCACACGGUGCGGCAGACCUCUCCUGUCUCCCCGCUGCUCCCCUCAGGAGUGUUUCAGUCAAUCUGCCUGUUCUGCUCCCCACUCUGUCUCUGGUGAAUCCUCUCACCCCUUGCACCUCUGGCCUGUACUCCAGCUCUUGUAUGCAUAAAUAAAUCUUUUUU
This is a long non-coding RNA of Talpa occidentalis (Iberian mole), 3072 nucleotides long. RefSeq lists it as uncharacterized. Lineage: Eukaryota; Metazoa; Chordata; Mammalia; Eulipotyphla; Talpidae. The transcript has 3 exons. The record is from RefSeq and is a predicted model, not a curated record.